UACGUAGGGGCUAGCGUUAUCCGGAAUUACUGGGCGUAAAGGGUGCGUAGGUGGUUUCUUAAGUCAGAGGUGAAAGGCUACGGCUCAACCGUAGUAAGCCUUUGAAACUGGGAAACUUGAGUGCAGGAGAGGAGAGUGGAAUUCCUAGUGUAGCGGUGAAAUGCGUAGAUAUUAGGAGGAACACCAGUUGCGAAGGCGGCUCUCUGGACUGUAACUGACACUGAGGCGCGAAAGCGUGGGGAGCAAACAGGAUUAGAUACCCCUGUAGUCCCUGAGCGGG
RNAcentral lists this ribosomal RNA (280 nucleotides) under uncultured prokaryote. RNAcentral's name for it is "partial 16S ribosomal RNA". It matches the Rfam family "Bacterial small subunit ribosomal RNA", at positions 524 to 803 of the family's 1533-position model. The record is from RNAcentral.